Molecule: ribosomal RNA, 462 nt
Filed under: uncultured Methanosaeta sp.
Lineage: Archaea; Methanobacteriati; Methanobacteriota; Methanomicrobia; Methanotrichales; Methanotrichaceae
Description: bacterial SSU rRNA
Rfam family: Archaeal small subunit ribosomal RNA
Source: RNAcentral
UACAACGGGUGGAGCCUGCGGUUUAAUUGGAUUCAACGCCGGAAAUCUUACCGGGACCGGCAGCAAUAUGAAGGGCCAGGCUGAAGACUUUGCCGGAUUAGCUGAGAGGUGGUGCAUUGGCCGUCGUCAGUUCGUACUGUGAAGCAUCCUGUUAAGUCAGGCAACGAGCGAGACCCACGCCCACAGUUGCCAGCGUACUCUCCGGAGUGACGGGUACACUGUGGGGACCGCCGCUGCUAAAGCGGAGGAAGGAAUGGGCAACGGUAGGUCAGUAUGCCCCGAAUAUCCCGGGCUACACGCGAGCUACAAUGGUUGGUACAAUGGGGUAUCUACCCCGAAAGGGGACGGAAAUCUCCUAAAACCAAUCUUAGUUCGGAUUGAGGGCUGCAACUCGCCUACAUGAAGUCGGAAUCGCUAGUAAUCGCGGAUCAGCACGCCGCGGUGAAUACGUUCCCGGGCCUU